RNAcentral lists this long non-coding RNA (576 nucleotides) under Jatropha curcas. Its description in RNAcentral is "long non-coding RNA (JCUR_LNC003440)". The record is from RNAcentral. Lineage: Eukaryota; Viridiplantae; Streptophyta; Magnoliopsida; Malpighiales; Euphorbiaceae.
GCCACUUGGACCUGCUCCUAUUAUUCCAAUUCUUGUAUUUACAGGUAGACAUGGAUGUAACUUGGAAAUUUGAUCUUCUAUUGGUAUUUUUGGGUCCAUCUCUUGUAACAAAUGCACUUAAUAAAUUAUAUUAUCAAUCAAAGUUCCAAAACAAUAAUAUCAGAGAAACCAACUGAUCAAACAAAGAUUUGAAACACAACCAAAGAUUUGAAAAACAAUUACUGAACAGAUGAAAACAGGUAAUUUUGCUUUUAUUAAGUCUUAACCAAAAAUGUCAAUAAAAAAGUGGUUAGGAGAAACAAACCUUAAGAGAAAAAUACAGAAAAGCACCUUAAGAGUCCUAUUAACGUGGUUGAGAAAUUUCAUGCACUCUGUACAAACACCAUUGUAUUUGUCUCCAGAAGUUAAGAAAUCAAUUUUUAAGUUGUAUUUUUUUUCACAUAUUAAUUAAUAUUUUCUCUUUCCCACUUAACAGGAGCAAUAAGAAACUGUUGAAGUUGAUCGACUAUAGAAACAGAAGGGAAGAUGAUGGCAAUUGACAAAAGAAAAAGAAAAGAGAGGGAAAGCAAAGGCAAG